This 450-nucleotide ribosomal RNA is filed under the name uncultured bacterium. Its description in RNAcentral is "partial 16S ribosomal RNA". It matches the Rfam family "Bacterial small subunit ribosomal RNA", at positions 354 to 796 of the family's 1533-position model. The record is from RNAcentral.
GUGGGGAAUCUUCCGCAAUGGACGAAAGUCUGACGGAGCGACGCCGCGUGAGUGAUGAAGGCCUUCGGGUCGUAAAGCUCUGUCAUCGGGGACGAAUGGUCGUUGGAGUGGAAAGCCAGCGAAAUGACGGUACCCGAGAAGGAAGCCACGGCUAACUACGUGCCAGCAGCCGCGGUAAUACGUAGGUGGCAAGCGUUGUCCGGAAUUAUUGGGCGUAAAGCGCGCGCAGGUGGGAUCUUAAGUCCAUUUUUAAAGUUCGGAGCUCAACUCCGUGAUGGGAUGGAAACUGGGAUUCUUGAGUACCGGAGAGGAACGCGGAAUUCCCCGUGUAGCGGUGAAAUGCGUAGAUAUGGGGAGGAACACCAGUGGCGAAGGCGGCUUUCUGGACGGUGUCUGACACUGAGGCGCGAAAGCCAGGGGAGCGAACGGGAUUAGAAACCCGUGUAGUCC